GUGUGUCUGUUUGGUUAAAUGAAUUAAGCAACCCAUGCAACAGUAACAUUUAGAUGUUAAAUAUUUUUAAAUUAUCGAACGUCUCCUGUAAGUUUUAAAAUUGAGUAUUUUCAAGACGUCACAAUACUUAUUUUUACAAAAGCGGAUGCGACUGCCUCCUCCGUGACGUCGGAUUCGAUACCAGUCAAGAAAGAACAGCUUCAUCUCUCAUUCAGAGAGUGAAUUGGAUGAGACUCAGUGUUGCCUCUUGCGGAAAAAACAAAACAAAACAUAAAAUCAUGGGUAAAAUACACCAGGUCAAAGUGUUCGGGAUUGAUCGUGAGCUUAAGGUGAUUGACCUCUGCGACUCCGAGGAGAUGAUGAAGAAAAUGACUGUCCGAGAUCUGAAAAAAAAAGUUGUGGAGAGGUUUCCCGGGCCCACAGAUGAUCUGCAGAUGAUCUUCGCAAACCACCGGCUGGAUGACGAAAAUGAACUUCUGUAUAAAUAUGGAAUCCAGCACUUGUCUGUUAUCCAGCUGGUAGUGAGGCUUAAUGGGGGACUACCAGCUUGAUAGAGGGCGACAGAGACCACAAUCAGCAUCUCCAAGUGUUUUUUACUGAUCAAUUAAAAGAUCAAUUAAAUUAAAUGUAUUUUAGGCUCAUUUUCUAGUUGUCUAGCUGUCGGACUGCUCCCAUAAUGUUUCUUUUUUUUUUUUGUUAUAAAGGUCUGUGUUGAAAAUGUAAUCCUGAUCUCAAAAUAAAUUCAUAAAUAAAGGAUUCAAUAUUGAUGUCAUAACAAACGAAAACUGUUGACGCAGUCCUUAGGUUUUGAUUAUCACUGACUUUUAUUACAAUGUUGAAUUCUUGAAGAAAAAAGAAAACUGAAGAAUAAAUUGUCACAGAAAUAAAAAUCUGUUUCCCUCUGGUUCUCUAUCUCUGUAAAUCGUAAACUGAAAUAAGAUCUCUAAUAAAGCCUAAAUGGACAAAGCAUA
This is a long non-coding RNA of Oreochromis niloticus (Nile tilapia), 971 nucleotides long. RefSeq lists it as uncharacterized. The transcript is spliced from 2 exons. The record is from RefSeq and is a predicted model, not a curated record. NCBI's taxonomy places the organism in Eukaryota, Metazoa, Chordata, Actinopteri, Cichliformes, Cichlidae.